Athalia rosae (coleseed sawfly) is the source of this 2827-nucleotide long non-coding RNA. RefSeq lists it as uncharacterized. The record is from RefSeq and is a predicted model, not a curated record. Lineage: Eukaryota; Metazoa; Arthropoda; Insecta; Hymenoptera; Athaliidae. The transcript has 4 exons.
AAAAGCACCUAAAGUAGCCGCGAAGCUUUGAAAAGCACGGUAUAUUAGUUCUGCGCAAUAAAAUUAGAGUGCAAAUGCUAUCUCUCGACUGAGGUGUCAAUAUUCAUUUUAAUUUGUACAAUUAAGAAGGAAAUAAUAAUUUACCAAUUUUGUUAUCCCCUCUAUGGUCAACCGGUGUCGUAUUGCUACUAUCUCUGUCACGGUCACGCUCUCUUGGUUGUACAAUGCAUUUUCCACACGUUCGUGGGGGAGCAGAUGGAACGAUGUUACAAGCUCUGCCAUAGGUCAGAUAUUCCAAAAAAUAUACUCACCAGGAUUUCUACAAUGGAUGCAAACUGCAACAGUUUCAUUUCGAAUUCUCUCGAUAGUGAGAGUCGAAGGAAGACCAGUGGUAUACUUGAAAGAAGAAAUACAACAUUGCACCGCAGGAAAGAGGAAGCCACAUGAUAUCCCAGCUAAUUUUUAGUAACGUAACAGCUAUAGACGAUUAUAAAAAAAAAAAAGUAGAAGGAGAAAAGUAAAAACAAACUUUACUCCAAUAAUAAAUUCCACGAUCAAAGCUAUAUUAUAGGCAAAAAUGAUGAACUAUUCAUAGUUACAGAUGGUGUAGAACAUCAGCAAAAACUAUGAUGAAAAUUUAAAACUGUUCGUUGGGUCGAUCAAGUACCGGCAAAAACGGCGUACAAAAGCGAGUGUAACUACGAUCGCCGAAUCCGAUAUGUUUCUAAUGGGGUUUCAUCAAAUAUUGAUGGGUGUGCACAACACGAAAGAGAAUCGAAGAACGUGAACGCGGCGAUGAAAUAGCGAGGAAAUUACACAGUCCCUCAAUCUGCAGUCGACCAGGCUACGUAUAUUUCCAACGAGAAUAAUGAAACGAUGAAGUCGAAUUAUUGAAAAACACCGGAUGAACAUGUGAUUACUAUGGCUGUUGCCAAACGAAAGCAGCUAUUAUUGGAGAUGAUGAAAAAAUUUCGUAUGGAGAUUAGACAAUUGUAACUUUACAAUUUAGUCGUAGACUGCUUGAUUUGAUGUGUAGGUAUUGCGGGUUAAAAUAACUCGUCCUAAAGCUCGAGCCCAUUCAUUAUAAUUUUAGAUUAUUUUUUACCUUGUACAUUAUAGCUAGCUAAUGCUAAUUAAUUGCUUAUUCGAGGAUACUGAAAGAAAUACUUACGUUUGGAUCGUUAUUCAGCUUUCCAACGUAGACCUUUGAAAACAAACAAAAAAAAAAUAAGAAUAAUUCAUUGAUUAAAUAUGCCUUUUUAUCACAAUGAUAUGUACCAUUAGAAAUGCAAUUAAUCUCCUCGUUGUUUGAACCGGUUUAAACGGUCGAACGAAAGAACAAGACAGUGUGUCUGAUACACACUGUGAUGUUGUGUAUGGCGUUUCGCAAACUGUAUCCACGUGCUGCACCGCACGUAUAUGCCCCAUGUCGCAUUCUACACCACGUUAAUGUAUAUCGAAAAAUUUUUAAUAUAUCCUAAUCUGUCGGAUGUGUAACUUCCAUACGCAAAUUAAUUAGGAGUCGUUGUAAAAGAAAAUAUUUGUUUAAAUGUGGGUCGCUGAGGAGAAAUAUUUAAGUUGAGUGCUACUCGACAUUUAUAUUUAUUGGAAGCACGUUAAGAGCAAGAUAUAAAAAUUGUAUACAAUAUAUGCAUUGGUGUAUUAUUUAUAAAUUGAGAUGCUCUCCGUGCCAAUGAGCUGGAUGAUGUACAAAGGCAUACAAAAUGUACAGGGCGAAUUACUCUGACUAGCUAACGAUAAGCUAUGCCAAGCAAGGGAAUAAAUUCUUGCAUAACUGAAAAACUGGAGCUUUCAUUGUGUUUCUGAAACUUGAACGGAAAAACUUUUUCCGUUUUCGGGAUACAGUCGAUCGUUGGAGAAGGGCGGGUUAGCGAAAAGUCCCCGACACCAAGAGGACGACGAGCGUUGCAAAUAAAAUCUUACAGUUUUUGAAAGAACGAGAUUCGACGAUAUUCGCUCGCGUACGUUCAGCUUUUUACCUCCUCUUCAAAAUUGCUCGGUUGUUUUUUGGUUCAAUUUAAUUUUCUUUUUCAGAGCCACCCCGUAUACAGGUAUAGAUUUAUAUGCGCGCUCUUGGUAGUCGACUAAAUAUCGACUCACCAAACUUGGGAGCAAGUUUUAGUUAUAAGCUUAUCAAACAUCGAUCACAAUGCUCAUUUCCACUAUAAAUAUUUACUGUAAAGACCGAUUUGCCGCUUUAGAUUUGUUAUAGAUUGCACAAACUAUCUUAUUACUACGCAAAUUGAGUGUUAAUUUGAAAAGGAAGAGGAUGUAUAUACGAUUGGGAGAAAUCACGUUGAAUUUUCUGAUGCAAUUUAAACGGAAUUCAGCGUUGUUAUACCUACCUGCCUUGAGAAUAAUUUCGAUUUUUAUGCCCGGGGCAAUCUAUGAGAGCCCGUGAAAAUUCUCAUAGAAGUUUUAGAGCAAUGAGAUGAAAAUUGAUUCUGCAAUAGCCGAUGAAAGAGAUGGAAAAGAAAGUUUUCAGGGAUGAACAUGACGUCCUAAAAGAUUUUUCUAACUUCGCAGAAAGUCGACGACAUGUUGCGUUUUGGUGAGUAGAGCAAGGCAAGCAGCUGAAGCGACAGCGUCAAGCGGCAACAGCAAUUACAAAGUUACCAGCGCAACAAUAGCGAUGCACUUAUUAUUUGUCAAUGGCCAAAUGAUAACAUAUGCGUUUGGGUUAUGGGGCAGACGUUAAUGGUAAAAUCAAAUGAUACGUGCUCAAUUAAAAUUAGGUCUGAGUAUCUAAUACAAAAUCAAAAGACACGGAAGGUUGUUGAGUAGGAUAAUAUUAAAACAUUUCGCG